UUAAGGUAUAGAACUAUUAUCAGCAGAUUGUCCUUAAGUAAAGGUAUAGAACUAUUAUCGUCAAAAUGUCCAUAAGUAAAGGUAUAGAACUAUUAUCGUCAAAUGUCCUUAAGUAAAGGUAUAGAUCUAUUGACAGCAAAAUGUCCUUAAGUAAAGGUAUAGAACUAUUGUCAGCAAAAUGUCCUUAAGUAAAGGUAUAGAACUAUUAUCAGCAAAAUGUCCUUAAGUAAAGGUAUAGAACUAUUAUCUGCAAAAUGUCCAUAAGUAAAGGUAUAGAACUAUUAUCGUCAAAAUGUCCUUAAGUAAAGGUAUAGAUCUAUUGACAGCAAAAUGUCCUUAAGUAAAGGUAUAGAACUAUUGUCAGCAAAAUGUCCUUAAGUAAAGGUAUAGAACUAUUAUCGGCAAAAUGUCCGUAUCUGUAAGGUGUACUCGAAGUACCUGAAGUAAAAGUACUCAGCAUGCAAAAUGGCCCCUUUCAGUGUUACAUUUUUACAUUAUCGGAUCAUUAUAAUUGAUGAGGUGGAGCUUUAAAGAAGUGCUGGGUGGUAUACUGCUUUAACCGAUACCAAUGCAUAGCUAAAACAACAGCUGUAACUCUUAAAUAGACAUCAAACAGCGCUACGUUCACAUGUAGCCUUGUUAAAGAGUAAUAUGAAAAAGCAAGCGGCAGUUGUUAGGGUAUAAAACCAACAAUCUGACCUGAUAGUCAAUUACUCACCAUGUUAUGUUGAAUUCAUGAAGAAAACCUUGUUUUACUAGCAUGCCUCUAGAAUCCAAGAACUGAGAAACUUCUUGAUGAGUUGAAGUACAACAGCAAAACUGUAUCAAAACAUUAGUUCACAAACUCUCACACAACUCCUGCAGUAUGAUCUCAGUCUCAUCUACCCAGUUGUGUGCUCACUACUUCUCAAACAAAUGCAUUUCUGCAUAAUCUUACUAUUUAAAAUACUUCUGUAUUAACAGCGUCACGCAUGGACGAGUAGUGCGCCUGGCCAAGCAUGUGCGUUUGAGCUCUUCGAGCGAGGAUGUUUUGCUGUUGCUAAAUGCACCCAGUUCAUCAAGAAGUUUCUCCGUUUUGGAUUCUUUGUUCACCACAGAGGCAUGCAAGAAAGUUUUCUUCAUGAAUUCAAAGUAACACAGAGUGAGUGAUUGAUACAAAUGAUUAUUUUGUGGGUGAACUGUUCCUUUAAUCUAGAAUAAUGCAACAUGUUUGUAUGUAGAAUCCUAAUCUGAAAAGUAACAAAUACCUUCAGUGUAUCUGGGGAAUAAAAAAGUGGAGUCUCCCUCGGAAUUGUAGUGCAACAGAAUUAUAAAGUAGCAUUAAAUGGAAAUAACACUCAAUAGUAAAGUAUAAGUACCUCAAAAUUAUAUUUGUAAACUCUGUGACAAUAUAAGGAAGCAAAUAAAUUCUGGCCCACAAAGCAUUAGCACGCAUUCAGUGCACUCUUACAAAAUCACAAUAACAU
Molecule: long non-coding RNA, 1466 nt
Organism: Epinephelus fuscoguttatus (brown-marbled grouper)
Lineage: Eukaryota; Metazoa; Chordata; Actinopteri; Perciformes; Serranidae
Exons: 3
Source: RefSeq, a predicted model, not a curated record